Molecule: transfer RNA, 64 nt
Filed under: Empoascanara sipra
Lineage: Eukaryota; Metazoa; Arthropoda; Insecta; Hemiptera; Cicadellidae
Also listed under: 1 other name
Description: tRNA-Thr
Source: RNAcentral
GUUUUAAUAAUUUAAUAAAAAUAUUGAUUUUGUAAAUCAAAUUUGAGUAAAAUCUCUUAAAUCA